This 142-nucleotide ribosomal RNA is filed under the name uncultured eukaryote. RNAcentral describes it as "partial 18S ribosomal RNA". It matches the Rfam family "Eukaryotic small subunit ribosomal RNA", at positions 1299 to 1458 of the family's 1831-position model. The record is from RNAcentral.
UGGUGGAGUGAUUUGUCUGGUUAAUUCUGUUAACGAACGAGACCUCGACCUGCUAAAUAGUUCGGCGGACUCUUCUGGGUCCGUGCGUGACUUCUUAGAGGGACUAUCGGUGUGUAGCCGAUGGAAGUUCGAGGCAAUAACA